This 614-nucleotide ribosomal RNA is filed under the name uncultured cyanobacterium. RNAcentral describes it as "partial 16S ribosomal RNA". It matches the Rfam family "Bacterial small subunit ribosomal RNA", at positions 119 to 765 of the family's 1533-position model. Lineage: Bacteria; Bacillati; Cyanobacteriota. The record is from RNAcentral.
GAGAAUNUACCUUCAGGACGGAGACAACAGUNGGAAACGACUGCUAACCCCCGAUGUACCGAAAGGGCAAAUAUUUAUAGCCUGAAGAAGAGCUUGGGUCCGAUUAGCUAGUNGGAGAGGUAAAAGCUCACCAAGGGGACGAUCGGUAGCUGGUUNGAGAGGANGAUCAGCCCCACCGGGAAUGAGACACGGCCCAGANUCCUACGGGAGGCAGCAGUGGGGAAUUUUCCGCAAUGGGCGAAAGCCUGACGGAGCAAGACCGCGUGGGGGAAGAAGGCUUUUGGGUUGUAAACCCCUUUUNUCUGGGAAGAACGCAAUGACGGUACCAGAGGAAUCAGCAUCGGCUAACUCCGUGCCAGCAGCCGCGGUAAGACGGAGGAUGCAAGCGUUAUCCGGAAUGAUUGGGCGUAAAGCGUCCGCAGGUGGCAGUUCAAGUCUGCUGUCAAAGACCGGGGCUCAACCUCGGAAAGGCAGUGGAAACUGAACAGCUAGAGUAUGGUAGGGGCAAAGGGAAAUUCCUGGUGUAGCGGUGAAAUGCGUANAGAUCANGAANAACAUCNGUGGCGAANGCGCUUUGCUGGACCAUAACUGACACUCANGGACGAAAGCUAGGG